UUUUCCUCUCUGGGUGAAGCACAAGCUAUCCGUGUCCUUGAGCAAACACUCUGUACUUGCUCUUUCGUCUUUUUGCCGUACGUCAAAGAAAGCUUCCCCAAAGCAAGCAAACUCCGCCUCAUUCCGCUGCUAGCUGGACCAGGUGACCCCGCAGACACGGAUGGAGUGUUCAAAGUGCUUCCCGCGGCUGUUUUUAUUGGCCUGCGGCACAUUUAAAACAGGAAAAAAAUGGAAAAAUUAGCCAGUAAUUUUACAAGAAUGACAUCAAAAUAUUAAGAGGAGAAAGUUGUAAUCCAACGAGAAAAAGUCAUCAUUUCAACUCUUUCAUUCCAGACGUUUUUCAAAAUUCAACCCCUUCAGUAGCGGACAUUUUAGACGAUUUUGACUGAUCUUUCAAGGCGCGCAGGAUGUUGUGUUGGAUGGCUAUAGAAACAUGGAACCUACCAAAAGACACAUUAGAUGCCCGUCUUUCAUCAGGAAGAAAAAGUUUGUUUCUGCCUUUUUGUGUUCUUUAGUAACCAGCAGUAGAACAUAGGUAAG
Molecule: long non-coding RNA, 540 nt
Organism: Dunckerocampus dactyliophorus (ringed pipefish)
Lineage: Eukaryota; Metazoa; Chordata; Actinopteri; Syngnathiformes; Syngnathidae
Exons: 3
Source: RefSeq, a predicted model, not a curated record